Small nucleolar RNA from Panonychus citri (citrus red mite), 69 nucleotides. NCBI's taxonomy places the organism in Eukaryota, Metazoa, Arthropoda, Arachnida, Trombidiformes, Tetranychidae. The record is from RefSeq and is a predicted model, not a curated record.
GUCUAAAUGAUGAUUAAGAUACCGCCCCAGACUGAUUAGUUUGAUGAAUCGGUAUUAUUCUGAUUAGAC